This 453-nucleotide ribosomal RNA is filed under the name uncultured Planctomycetota bacterium. RNAcentral describes it as "bacterial SSU rRNA". It matches the Rfam family "Bacterial small subunit ribosomal RNA", at positions 384 to 827 of the family's 1533-position model. Lineage: Bacteria; Pseudomonadati; Planctomycetota. The record is from RNAcentral.
UGACGAAGCGACGCCGCGUGGGUGAGGAAGGCCCUCGGGUUGUAAAGCCCUGUCAGGAGUUAAGAAAUGUAGGUGUGCUAAUAUCACGCCUAUUUGACGAAGGCUCCAAAGGAAGUCACGGCUAACUCUGUGCCAGCAGCCGCGGUAAUACAGAGGUGGCAAGCGUUGUUCGGAAUUAUUGGGCGUAAAGAGCACGUAGGUGGGUUUGUAAGUCAGAUGUGAAAGCCUCCUGUUCAACGGGAGAAUUGCAUCUGAAACUACUGAUCUUGAGUGUAGGAGGGGAGAAUGGAACUUCUGGUGGAGCGGUGAAAUGCGUAGAUAUCAGAAGGAACGCCGGCGGCGAAAGCGAUUCUCUGGCCUAUUACUGACACUCAGUGUGCGAAAGCUAGGGGAGCAAACGGGAUUAGAUACCCCGGUAGUCCUAGCCGUAAACGAUGGGCACUAAGUAGAGGG